RNAcentral lists this long non-coding RNA (1818 nucleotides) under Sus scrofa (pig). RNAcentral describes it as "lncRNA (ENSSSCG00050041251.1)". Lineage: Eukaryota; Metazoa; Chordata; Mammalia; Artiodactyla; Suidae. The record is from RNAcentral.
GCUCUUACUCAGCGGAGGCCUCCGGAGCCGCCGCGAAGCCCCUCCGAGGAACCCCUUCCUUACCUGCGCAGUCCCCGCCGCACCUGUACCUGCCGCAGCCCCGCACCUGGCCGAGCCGAAGAGCUGCCGCCGGGAGCCGGCGCUUCCCUCCUUGUGGGAGGUUGGGGGGACCCGGACGCGAGCGAGUUCCUGAACCAGGAGCCACGCACCCAGAAGUGGAGCUGCGGGUGGGGGGUGGGGUGGGGGAGGGGAUUCUAUUUUUGGAGUUAAGUUGAGAGUAAAGGGUGUUUCUCCCUCUUAGUCCUCUUAACGUAUUCAGAGCGGAGAGGCUGGGGCAGGGGGUGAUGAGAGGGCGCAGAAAGGCCACCCGCCUCUAAAGGUCAGACUGGAGAGCUUUCCCAGCUCAACCGCAACUCCGGUAUUGUAGCCCUUUGCCGCGCCCAGCUCUGCUCCUGCUGUCCCCUUUGGCAGGCCCACCCUGGUCACAUUCCCACACACACCCGGCUGCUCUCCCCAUUUGAUUCUUGCUCCGACUGGAAGUAAGCAGGGUUUGGCGAGGAGUAGAGACAGAACAGUGUGUGUGUGUGUGUGUGUGUGUGUGUGUGCGCGCGCGCGCGUGCGUGUAAUGCCCCUAAGGGGUUAAAUUCUGUGCCGCCUUCUCCUCCUGUCAGGCUGUGCGUGGGCAAAGCCUUGGGUGGGUGAACAGGCGACAUAUGGGUGAUGUUCUGAGCCCACCGAGCCCCACCACCUGCCCUAACCCUCAGCCAUCUGACGCUGGAGUCUCCCCACACCCCGAACUUGGAGCUCAGUCCAAUCAGGCUCCUCCUCUGAGGGGCUUGGAGGUGAAGGAGAGCGGAAUUGUGGACACGGAGGGGGCAUUCUCCAGGGGGAUUCAGAAGCCAGAGGAGGAAGAGCUUUCCUAUGACCCAUAGCUGAACAGGAGCCCUCAGGCAAUUGGUGCGGAAGGAUCAGCGAAGGGGCUCGAGGUGUUGUCUCCAUCCCUUGUGGCCAAGGAAUGCAGUAGUGGAACUUUCACGCCUCGGGGUGGCCGGAGGGAGAGGAGGCAGAGAGGAGAAAGCGAGUGGAGAUGGAGAGGGGAGGGAAGGAGUCACAUUCAAGAGACCAGCUCCAGCAGGACCCUCUGCUCUUGUCCCUCAUUCAGUAAGCAUUUGCUGACUUCCUACCUGAGGCCAGGUGCCUGGGACCCAGCCCUGGGGCGGUAAGGGGCAGGUGCUGACCAGCCCAGCACUGGGGGUUGGGAGGAGCCCAUCACGAUGUCCAGGAAGGCUUCCUGGCAGAAUUGACUCUAAGUGGGGACCUGAAGGAUCAGUAGAAUUAGCCACAGGGCAGGGGGGGGAGGGGGGGAAUGAACAGCACAGGGCUCAGCAAGUGCUGGACCCAAGAGCAGAAGCAGCAGCGUGACGCACCCAGGAAACUGAAAGUAGCUCGGGUGUUCAGCACAUGGAGAGUGCAGGGGCGAGGUGAGCUGGAGAGGUAGGGAGAGAUGGCGCCAGAAGGGCCUGCCCAGGCUGCCAUGGCAACUCCUGUUACUUGGGACCAGAGCCAUCAGCCUCCGCUUGACUCAGGGCGGGGCUGCCAGAUUUAGCAAAUGAAAAUACAGGUCGCUCAGAUUUGAAUUUCAGGUAAGCCACGAAUAUCUGUCAAGUAUAAUAUAUAUCCUAGAGGUCAUGUUGUGGCUCGGCAGUAACAAACCCGACUAGCAUCCAUAAGGAUGCUGGUUCUAUCCCCGGCCUCGCUCAGUAGGUUAAGGAUCCAAUGUUCCUGUGAGCUGUGGUGUAGCCCAGCAGCUAUAGCUCC